CCUACGGGAGGCAGCAGUGAGGAAUAUUGGUCAAUGGACGAGAGUCUGGACCAGCCAAGUCGCGUGAAGGAUGACUGCCCUAUGGGUUGUAAACUUCUUUUAUAUGGGAAUAAAAUGUUACACGUGUGGGAUUUUGUAUGUACCAUAUGAAUAAGGAUCGGCUAACUCCGUGCCAGCAGCCGCGGUAAUACGGAGGAUCCGAGCGUUAUCCGGGUUUAUUGGGUUUAAAGGGAGCGUAGGUGGGUUGUUAAGUCAGUUGUGAAAGUUUGCGGCUCAACCGUAAAAUUGCAGUUGAAACUGGCAGUCUUGAGUACAGUAGAGGUAGGCGGAAUUCGUGGUGUAGCGGUGAAAUGCUUAGAUAUCACGAAGAACACCGAUUGCGAAGGCAGUUCACUGGACUGCAACUGACGCUGAGGCUCGAAAGUGUGGGUAUCAAACAGGAUUAGAUACCCUAGUAGUC
This 460-nucleotide ribosomal RNA is filed under the name uncultured bacterium. RNAcentral describes it as "partial 16S ribosomal RNA". It matches the Rfam family "Bacterial small subunit ribosomal RNA", at positions 338 to 795 of the family's 1533-position model. The record is from RNAcentral.